Molecule: long non-coding RNA, 500 nt
Filed under: Citrus x clementina
Lineage: Eukaryota; Viridiplantae; Streptophyta; Magnoliopsida; Sapindales; Rutaceae
Description: Citrus clementina (C. clementina) long non-coding RNA (CCLE_LNC006490)
Source: RNAcentral
UUUAUUUUACUUUUUAUUAAAAAAAAUUAUUUUGAUAUACUUUAGCCCACGUGCUACUGAUGGCCCACAGGUCGCGUGCUAGCCCACCAAUAAAGCGUGCUUAUGACGUGUCUUUUCGCAUACCGUAUUUUGGCCCAUCACUAAUCGUGCCGUACUUUUAAGGCCCACGUGCCUAAAAAUCUGAGCACGGUUCGGCCCAAAUGCGUGCCGUGCCGCUUGCAUUGCCGAAACAUAUUUGUAUCGUGCCAUACUGUAUGGACACAUGUCGUGCCACGUGCUGCCCAGCCCAUUGGCCACCUUUAGUAAAUCAUGUUUCGAGCCCAACUGAAUAAAAAUCAUGUUUCGAGCCCAACUGAAGCCUAUCCCUAAUGACAAUAAAGAAAACUAAUUUUUUUAAGCAAAAACUAUACUAGUAAUAGCUCUAUUUAGAUAAGUUUUAUUGUUCUUUUAGUAAAGUUUUUGAAGAUUAAACAAGUUUUUUUUCUCUAUUGGUAGAAGUU